This 262-nucleotide unclassified non-coding RNA is filed under the name Xylariales sp. RNAcentral's name for it is "partial contains 5.8S ribosomal RNA, internal transcribed spacer 2, and large subunit ribosomal RNA". The record is from RNAcentral. Lineage: Eukaryota; Fungi; Ascomycota; Sordariomycetes; Xylariales.
CGCACAUUGCGCCUAUUAGUAUUCUAGUAGGCAUGCCUGUUCGAGCGUCAUUUCAACCCUCAAGCUUAACUGCUUGGUGUUGGGACAUUACUUUUAGUUAAGUAAGUUCUCAAAUGUAUUGGCAGCUCCAAAUCAUCUCUGAGCGUAGUAAAUCUCUUUAUCUCGCUUUGGCUAGGUGUUUUGGUGGUAGCCAGAAACUUUCUGUAAAGAAAACUUCUGAAUAGUUGACCUCGGAUCAGGUAGGAAUACCCGCUGAACUUAA